RNAcentral lists this ribosomal RNA (521 nucleotides) under Moesziomyces rugulosus. RNAcentral's name for it is "eukaryotic LSU rRNA". It matches the Rfam family "Eukaryotic large subunit ribosomal RNA", at positions 151 to 656 of the family's 3401-position model. The record is from RNAcentral. Lineage: Eukaryota; Fungi; Basidiomycota; Ustilaginomycetes; Ustilaginales; Ustilaginaceae.
AAAAGAGUUUUCCGCUUCGGACCAUGCCUAAGUCCCUUGGAAAAGGGCAUCAUAGAGGGUGAUAAUCCCGUACAUGGCAUGGAGCGCCCGAAGCUUUGUGAUACGCUUUCUAAGAGUCGAGUUGUUUGGGAAUGCAGCUCAAAAUGGGUGGUAAAUGCCAUCUAAGGCUAAAUAUUGGGGAGAGACCGAUAGCGAACAAGUACAGUGAUGGAAAGAUGAAAAGAACUUUGAAAAGAGAGUUAAACAGUACGUGAAAUUGCCAAAAGGGAAGGGUAGGAGGUCAGAGAUGCGGCCUGGGAUUCAGCCUUGCUUUUGCUUGGUGUUUUUCCCAGAUUGCAGGCCAACGUCGGUUUUGGGCACUGGAGAAGGGUAGGAGGAACGUGGCACCUCUCGGGGUGUGUUAUAGCCUCCUACUGGAUACAGCGACCGAGACCGAGGACAGCANCGUACUCGCAAGAGCGGGCCUUCNGGCACCUUUACGCUUAGGGCGUUGGCAUAAUGGCCCUCUACCACCCGUCUUG